AGUGAACGCUGGCGGCGUGCCUAAUACAUGCAAGUCGAACGAUGAAGUCCUAGCUUGCUAGGAUGGAUUAGUGGCGCACGGGUGAGUAAUAUAUAGUUAAUCUGCCCUACACAGAGGAAUAACAGUUGGAAACGACUGCUAAUACCUCAUACUCCUAUUUGACAUAAGUUAAAUAGGGAAAGUCUUUUCGGUGUAGGAUGAGACUAUAUCGUCUCAGCUAGUUGGUAAGGUAAUGGCUUACCAAGGCUAUGACGCGUAACUGGUCUGAGAGGAUGAUCAGUCACAUUGGAACUGAGACACGGUCCAAACUCCUACGGGAGGCAGCAGUAAGGAAUAUUGCGCAAUGGGGGAAACCCUGACGCAGCAACGCCGCGUGGAGGAUGACACUUUUCGGAGCGUAAACUCCUUUUAUCAGGAAAGAAUAAUGACGGUACCUGAUGAAUAAGCACCGGCUAACUCCGUG
RNAcentral lists this ribosomal RNA (463 nucleotides) under uncultured bacterium. RNAcentral describes it as "partial 16S ribosomal RNA". It matches the Rfam family "Bacterial small subunit ribosomal RNA", at positions 29 to 507 of the family's 1533-position model. The record is from RNAcentral.